This is a non-coding RNA of Musca domestica (house fly), 141 nucleotides long. The record is from Rfam. Lineage: Eukaryota; Metazoa; Arthropoda; Insecta; Diptera; Muscidae.
AGCCUUGCGCAGCGGUAAUAUCGUAACCAAUGAAGUUUAGCUGAGGUGCGAUUAUUGCUAGUUGAAAACUUUAACCAAUACCUCGUCAUAGUGGACGUGAAAUACCGUCCUCUAUGCCAAUUUUUGAAAGCCCGCAAGGGC